Molecule: ribosomal RNA, 253 nt
Filed under: uncultured bacterium
Lineage: Bacteria
Description: partial 16S ribosomal RNA
Rfam family: Bacterial small subunit ribosomal RNA
Source: RNAcentral
UACGUAGGUGACCAGCGUUGUCCGGAUUUACUGGGCGUAAAGAGCGCGCAGGCGGUCGUUCAAGUCGCGUGUGAAAGCCCCCGGCUCAACUGGGGAGGGUCACGCGAUACUGAUCGACUCGAAGGCAGGAGAGGAAAGUGGAAUUCCCGGUGUAGUAGUGAAAUGCGCAGAUAUCAGGAGGACCACCGGUGGCGAAGGCGGGUCUCUGGGCCGAUACUGACGCUGAGGAGCGAAAGCGUGGGGAGCGAACAGG